Molecule: ribosomal RNA, 274 nt
Filed under: Anaerostipes hadrus ATCC 29173 = JCM 17467
Lineage: Bacteria; Bacillati; Bacillota; Clostridia; Lachnospirales; Lachnospiraceae
Description: Anaerostipes hadrus DSM 3319 partial 16S ribosomal RNA
Rfam family: Bacterial small subunit ribosomal RNA
Source: RNAcentral
UACGUAGGGGGCAAGCGUUAUCCGGAAUUACUGGGUGUAAAGGGUGCGUAGGUGGUAUGGCAAGUCAGAAGUGAAAACCCAGGGCUUAACUCUGGGACUGCUUUUGAAACUGUCAGACUGGAGUGCAGGAGAGGUAAGCGGAAUUCCUAGUGUAGCGGUGAAAUGCGUAGAUAUUAGGAGGAACAUCAGUGGCGAAGGCGGCUUACUGGACUGAAACUGACACUGAGGCACGAAAGCGUGGGGAGCAAACAGGAUUAGAAACCCCUGACUGACU